GAUGAACGCUGGCGGCGUGCCUAAUACAUGCAAGUCGAGCGAACAGACGAGGAGCUUGCUCCUCUGACGUUAGCGGCGGACGGGUGAGUAACACGUGGAUAACCUACCUAUAAGAAUGGGAUAACUUCGGGAAACCGGAGAUAACACCGGAUAAUAUAUUGAACCGGAUGGUUCUAUAGUGAAAGACGGUUUUGCUGUCACUUAUAGAUGGAUCCGCGCCGCAUUAGCUAGUUGGUAAGGUAACGGCUAACCAAGGCAACGAUGCGUAGCCGACCUGAGAGGGUGAUCGGCCACGCAGGAACUGAGACACGGUCCAGACUCGUACGGGAGGCAGCAGUAGGGAAUCUUCCGCAAUGGGCGAAAGCUUGACGGAGCAACGCGGCGUGAGUGAUGAGGGUCUUCGGAUCGUAAACUCUGUUAUUAGGGAAGAACAAAUGUGUAAGUAACUAUGCACGUCUUGACGGUACCUAAUCAGAAAGCCACGGCUAACUACGUG
Molecule: ribosomal RNA, 496 nt
Filed under: uncultured bacterium
Lineage: Bacteria
Description: partial 16S ribosomal RNA
Rfam family: Bacterial small subunit ribosomal RNA
Source: RNAcentral